GGAGGAAAGUAGGGGAUCGAAAGACCUUAUGCUUUUGGAGCGGCCGAUGUCUGAUUAGCUAGUUGGUAAGGUAAUGGCUUACCAAGGCAACGAUCAGUAGUUGGUCUGAGAGGACGACCAGCCACACUGGGACUGAGACACGGCCCAGACUCCUACGGGAGGCAGCAGUGGGGAAUUUUGGACAAUGGGCGCAAGCCUGAUCCAGCAAUGCCGCGUGAGUGAAGAAGGCCUUCGGGUUGUAAAGCUCUUUCAGUUGAGAAGAAAAGAUUGUAACUAAUAAUUGCAAUCCAUGACGGUAUCGACAGAAGAAGCACCGGCUAACUACGUGCCAGCAGCCGCGGUAAUACGUAGGGUGCGAGCGUUAAUCGGAAUUACUGGGCGUAAAGGGUGCGCAGGCGGUUUUGUAAGUCAGAUGUGAAAUCCCCGGGCUUAACCUGGGAACUGCGUUUGAAACUACAAGGCUAG
This 465-nucleotide ribosomal RNA is filed under the name uncultured bacterium. RNAcentral describes it as "bacterial SSU rRNA". It matches the Rfam family "Bacterial small subunit ribosomal RNA", at positions 198 to 644 of the family's 1533-position model. The record is from RNAcentral.